CUACUCUGAGAUAGAAAACUCUGAGUUUUCGGUUUCACAACGGCUGAUAUGAGUUGGUUUAAUUAACUCGGAGUAGUUUGACCCGGAGUUACGCGCGUGCACCGCAACUCUGAAAAGACAGCAUCAAUGGAACCCCGAUUCGACGAGUCACCAUGGAAACGGGGAAGCGAAAGGCUGCGUUUUUGAACUGGAAGUUUUUAACGCGCUCAUAUGGCGAGUUUGAACACGUUUUUAGAAAGAAGUGCAACACCGCUGCAGCUGUAAAAGAGAGAGAGACGGCGUGGAGAACAGCCCGGAUCAAUGCAGCAUGGCUGGACAGCAGCAGGAUGGUUCCUCAGCUUCCACUGCACAGACUGACACAGUGAGAUGGAUGUUCAGGAAACACCAGAGCUUCAUUCUGUGGAAUUCAUGUGCAACUGUAGAAUUGAAUGUCCUCUAUGUAUUCCCAGUUAUCAGUAAAACAGAUUUACAAACUGCAUUUGCUGAGAAGAAUCCAAAAACAGAUUAGGAGGGCAGAUCUGGAAACUGAAAUACUGGAGCACAAGUUAGAGGUGGUGAUGGUCACAGGUGAAUUAUGUUAACUACUGGAACAUGAACUGAACUAUCUUUUAUUUGUAGGAAAUAAAGAAGAGCAAAUGAAA
Long non-coding RNA from Acanthochromis polyacanthus (spiny chromis), 641 nucleotides. RefSeq lists it as uncharacterized. NCBI's taxonomy places the organism in Eukaryota, Metazoa, Chordata, Actinopteri, Pomacentridae. The transcript is spliced from 2 exons. The record is from RefSeq and is a predicted model, not a curated record.